UCUGAUUCAGCGGCGGACGGGUGAGUAAUGCCUAGGAAUCUGCCUGGUAGUGGGGGACAACGUCUCGAAAGGGACGCUAAUACCGCAUACGUCCUACGGGAGAAAGCAGGGGACCUUCGGGCCUUGCGCUAUCAGAUGAGCCUAGGUCGGAUUAGCUAGUUGGUGAGGUAAUGGCUCACCAAGGCGACGAUCCGUAACUGGUCUGAGAGGAUGAUCAGUCACACUGGAACUGAGACACGGUCCAGACUCCUACGGGAGGCAGCAGUGGGGAAUAUUGGACAAUGGGCGAAAGCCUGAUCCAGCCAUGCCGCGUGUGUGAAGAAGGUCUUCGGAUUGUAAAGCACUUUAAGUUGGGAGGAAGGGCAGUAAGCGAAUACCUUGCUGUUUUGACGUUACCGACAGAAUAAGCACCGGCUAACUCUGUGCCAGCAGCCGCGGUAAUACAGAGGGUGCAAGCGUUAAUCGGAAUUACUGGGCGUAAAGCGCGCGUAGGUGGUUUGUUAAGUUGAAUGUGAAAUCCCCGGGCUCAACCUGGGAACUGCAUCCAAAACUGGCAAGCUAGAGUA
Molecule: ribosomal RNA, 566 nt
Filed under: Pseudomonas graminis
Lineage: Bacteria; Pseudomonadati; Pseudomonadota; Gammaproteobacteria; Pseudomonadales; Pseudomonadaceae
Description: bacterial SSU rRNA
Rfam family: Bacterial small subunit ribosomal RNA
Source: RNAcentral